This 675-nucleotide long non-coding RNA is filed under the name Marmota monax (woodchuck). The record is from RNAcentral. Lineage: Eukaryota; Metazoa; Chordata; Mammalia; Rodentia; Sciuridae.
AGACAUAAAAUUAGCUACUGAUUAUAGCAAAGGCAUCUUCAAUUUGAUGGAAUUUUAGAGCAUUGGGAAUUCAUUGGGAUUGACAAUAUUAAUAAUAUGUUUUUUCAUGAAUAGGCCAUUAUCACAAAGUGUUUUCAGCUCAGAGUUUGCCUGUAUAGACUGAGAUUGGGCUAACUACAGCUUUUGGGUCAAAUUGGCCUGCCAUCUGCUUAAUUAAAUAAGGAUUAAUUGGAACACAGCCAUGCCCAUUUAUUUAUUAUCGUCAGUGGCUUCUUUCAUGCUAUGAAGGCAAAGUUAAGUGUGACAGAGAUGUUAUUUUCUGCAAAGUAAAAAAUAUUAAGUAUCUGGACUUUUACAAAACAGUUUUGCCCAUGCUUGGGUAAACACUGUGACUCAGUUGACACUGGCUCCUAAAAUUUUAAAUGAAAAUAGAAUGCUUCCUUAGAAAUAUGAUGUUUGGUUAAAAUAACUUUAAGUGAAUAUUUCUUAAAGCAUUAAUGUUUUGUGGACAAUUGCUCUUCUUUUUAAUUUAAUGAUUGUAGCAGUUUUUAGUUGGUGGUGGUAAUAACAGUGGUAGUAGCAAAGUGUAUCAGUGUAAGUGUAUUUGCAUAUGUUUACCUUUAAAAUUCUUUUGUAUUUUGUUUUGUUUUGGUGAUUUGGCACUGAGAUUAUUUG